UCAGCCUUUAUAAGGUGUGUGU
This 22-nucleotide microRNA is filed under the name Mus musculus (house mouse). Its description in RNAcentral is "mmu-miR-6348". Lineage: Eukaryota; Metazoa; Chordata; Mammalia; Rodentia; Muridae. The record is from miRBase by way of RNAcentral.